RNAcentral lists this ribosomal RNA (406 nucleotides) under uncultured bacterium. Its description in RNAcentral is "partial 16S ribosomal RNA". It matches the Rfam family "Bacterial small subunit ribosomal RNA", at positions 30 to 526 of the family's 1533-position model. The record is from RNAcentral.
AUUGAACGCUGGCGGCAGGCCUAACACAUGCAAGUCGAACGAGUGGCGGACGGGUGAGUAAUGUCUGGGAAACUGCCUGAUGGAGGGGGAUAACUACUGGAAACGGUAGCUAAUACCGCAUACUAUCGGAUGUGCCCAUAUGGGAUUAGCUAGUAGGUGGGGUAACGGCUCACCUAGGCGACGAUCCCUAGCUGGGCUGAGAGGAUGACCAGCCAAACUGGGACUGAGACACGGCCCAGACUCCUACGCGAGGCAGCAGUGGGGAAGAUUGCACAAUGGGCGCAAGCCUGAUGCAGCCAUGCCGCGUGUAUGAAGAAGGCCUUCGGGUUGUAAAGUACUUUCAGCGGGGAGGCGUUACCCGCAGAAGAAGCACCGGCUAACUCCGUGCCAGCAGCCGCGGUAAUAG